UCCAGACUCCUACGGGAGGCAGCAGUGGGGAAUAUUGGGCAAUGGGCGCAAGCCUGACCCAGCAACGCCGCGUGAAGGAAGAAGGCUUUCGGGUUGUAAACUUCUUUUGUCAGGGACGAAGCAAGUGACGGUACCUGACGAAUAAGCCACGGCUAACUACGUGCCAGCAGCCGCGGUAAUACGUAGGUGGCAAGCGUUAUCCGGAUUUACUGGGUGUAAAGGGCGUGUAGGCGGGCCUGUAAGUCAGAAGUGAAAUCUGGGGGCUUAACCCCCAAACUGCUUUUGAAACUGCGGGUCUUGAGUGAUGGAGAGGCAGGCGGAAUUCCCAGUGUAGCGGUGAAAUGCGUAGAUAUUGGGAGGAACACCAGUGGCGAAGGCGGCCUGCUGGACAUUAACUGACGCUGAGGCGCGAAAGCGUGGGGAGCAAACAGGAUUAGAUACCCUUGUA
Molecule: ribosomal RNA, 448 nt
Filed under: uncultured bacterium
Lineage: Bacteria
Description: bacterial SSU rRNA
Rfam family: Bacterial small subunit ribosomal RNA
Source: RNAcentral